UUUCCGGUUGAUCCUGCCGGACCCCACUGCUAUCGGGGUGGGACUUAGGCAUGUUAGUUUGUGUCUUCAGGCUAUGGUGAGGACACGGCGGACGGCUCAGUAACACGUAGCUAACCUGCCCUCGAGACGGAGAUAACCCCGGGAAACUGGGGCUAAUACCCGAUAGGUGAGAAUGCCUGGAAUGGUUUCUCGCCCAAAGGAUGUGGAGCCAUGCUUCCAAUAUCGCCCGAGGAUGGGGCUGCGGCCGAUCAGGUAGUUGGUGAGGUAACGGCUCACCAAGCCUUUGACCGGUACGGGCCGUGAGAGCGGGAGCCCGGAGAUGGGCACUGAGACAAGGACCUAGGCCCUACGGGGCGCAGCAGUCGCGAAAACUCCGCAAUGCGCGCAAGCGCGACGGGGCUACCCCGAGUGCCGUCCGCUGAGGAUGGCUUUUCUCUGGUGUAAUGAGCCAGAGGAAUAAGGGGAGGGCAAGACUGGUGUCAGCCGCCGCGGUAAUACCAGCUCCCCGAGUGGUGGGGAUGUUUAUUGGGCCUAAAGCGUCCGUAGCCUGCCCGACAAGUCCUCCGUUAAAUCCAACGAUCUAAUCGUUGGGCUGCGGGGAAUACUGUUGAGCUAGGGGGCGGGAGAAGUCGACGGUACUCUUGGGGUAGGGGUGAAAUCCUAUAAUCCCAGGAGGACAACCAGUGGCGAAGGCGGUCAACUAGAACACGCCUGACGGUGAGGGACGAAAGCUGGGGUAGCGAACCGGAUUAGACACCCGGGUAGUCCCAGCUGUAAACGAUGCGGGCUAGGUGUUGGAGCAGCCACGAGCUGCUUCAGUGCCGCAGAGAAGUCGUUAAGCCCGCCGCUUGGGAAGUACGAUCGCAAGAUUGAAACUUAAAGGAAUUGGCGGGGGAGCACCACAAGGGGUGAAGCCUGCGGUUCAAUUGGAUUCAACGCCGGA
RNAcentral lists this ribosomal RNA (943 nucleotides) under uncultured archaeon. Its description in RNAcentral is "bacterial SSU rRNA". It matches the Rfam family "Archaeal small subunit ribosomal RNA", at positions 1 to 922 of the family's 1478-position model. The record is from RNAcentral.